GGAGGAAUGUAGAAGUGAAGAUAAAGAGGCGAAUAGGAGCGAAAAGCAAUUGGGCAUAGAAAAUGAAGCUAUUCGAAUUGCCUCAGCAAUUGUGGCUGCAACAACCAUACGCCGGCAAGUCCCGCCAUUCUCAGCUUCCUCGUCCUACUCAUCUUCCAUAUUCAAUUCCCUCUCUCAGGCUCAAAAUUCGCACCUUCGCACUUUCCGACCCUGGUGCUUCCGAUUCCACAAUCCAGGCCACUCAAUCUGAUCUUUCGUUAACCUUGAAGAGGAAAGCAGCAGAAAUAUCUCCUGGCAUGAAAGGAACUUGUAUCUUCCUUGUUGGCUUAAACAGCUCCAUCAAAUCCAACUCGGGAAAACUUCUUGCAGAUGCACUGCGCUAUUAUUAUUUUGAUAGUGACAGUGUCGUUGAAGAAGCUUUGGGAGGAAAGGAUGCUGUCAGGUCAUUUGUGAAGACAGACUUGAAGGGCUUUCGAGACUCAGAAACGGAGGUACUGAAGCAGUUAUCGUCCAUGGGUCGCCUUGUUGUUGGUGCUGGGAAUGGUGCGGUUCAGCGUGCAGCUAAUCUGGCGCUUAUGAGACACGGCAUAUCAAUAUGGAUUGACGUCCCCUUGGAUAUGGUAGCCAAGGAAAUUGUGGAGGAGAGUUUUCAACCUCCUGCUGCUGAAACAAUAAAAGGAUCAUAUCCCGAGGUGUUGACUCAAUUAACUGCUAUGUAUGAAGAAAGCCGUAAGGGAUAUGCUACAGCUGAUACAACUAUUGCACUCCAGAAGGUUGCUUCUCAGUUAGGCUAUGAUACACUAGAUGCAGUAACCGCAGAGGAUAUGGUUUUGGAGACUCUGAAGGAGAUAGAGAGAUUGAUGAGAGUAAAGAAGUUGAUGGAAGAAGCUGCCAGGCCAUUUUAGUUUCGAUCACAACCAAUGUCGACUAUCUAGAAUCAACCUUUAUUGUUUGGAUCCUUAUGUGCUGUGCUGAAGUUGGAGAAAGUUGGCAACACUUGAAGCUCUUGCAGUUGAAUGACUUGUAGUAUUGUGAGAGUAAUUCUUAAGCGGCAUGUAUAUUGAAAGGCUCGUCCAAAUUCGACCUACAAGGUUGCCUCUCUUUCUCUUUGUGAUUAUAUAUGUUUUCUUUUGGGUGAGAGUAUAAGUGAUGUUUGGUUGUCGAAAUAAAAGAAGAUUGAAGGCCAUAUAUCCUAGUACGUUCCAUAUAAGGGAAAAGUGUCGGAUCGGACUAGCUAUGGAGGAUGACGCAGUUGCUGAAAAUUUCAUGCAGAGGCCACACAGCCAUGUGCUGACUGCUGAUGCCAAUCCUAUUGAAUUCUUUCUUACUUUCCUAUGUUCACUCUAAGUGAAUUUUAUUCAAUAUUUGAAAAUACUCUUUUUCUAUAUAUUGACAUGAGAAUAAGAAUUGUAUCUUAUAGUAAUACUUUGAAUAUUCAAAUUUUAAUUUAAAA
Molecule: RNA transcript, 1453 nt
Organism: Nicotiana attenuata
Lineage: Eukaryota; Viridiplantae; Streptophyta; Magnoliopsida; Solanales; Solanaceae
Gene name: probable inactive shikimate kinase like 1, chloroplastic
Exons: 12
Source: RefSeq, a predicted model, not a curated record